Long non-coding RNA from Cicer arietinum (chickpea), 1408 nucleotides. RefSeq lists it as uncharacterized. The record is from RefSeq and is a predicted model, not a curated record. Lineage: Eukaryota; Viridiplantae; Streptophyta; Magnoliopsida; Fabales; Fabaceae.
CAAUCUUAAAUCUUAAAUUGAAUCUAUAUGAAGAAAGAACUUUCUCAAUUUGAAAGAAACAAAACCUGAAUUUUUUUCUUUUAAGUUAAACUUUCAUGGUAAAAUCUUUAACUUUCAAAAUUCAAAUUCCCCCACUUUUCAUCGCCACUCUCUCAUAGGUUCCACUCUUUUUCCUUUUUACUUUUUUUUUUGUGACAAAUUCUUCCUUCUCUUCUCUGUUUUUCCAUCAUCCACAUUACAAUUUAAGUUAUGGUUCAGUAAAAUAAUCGAAUCAAUAAAAGGGAAGAAGUGGAAUUGAAGGAAACCAAAAAAAUUCGAAGUAGAACCAUUGAGGAAAACUAAAUUCUCUCUCUUCUAUCUAUUUCUUUCCAAGGAAGGACAAUAAAACCAUGACCAUUGGAAGACGACGGAUGUUGCUGAAACAAAAAAAAACAUAACACAUUGAAUGUGGAUGGGAUUUGCGCUGUGAUGUUGGAGUAGGAAGAAAUAAAAUCAGUGUAUAUUGAGAAAUGUUGGGAUGGACCAUACUAAGGAGCAUUGAUUUGGCUCAAAGAUAUAACUAUUACUAAUUUGCUAAGAUGCACGGAGCAGCGUAACUAUAGAUUGAUGGGGGCGAAUCGAACCUAAAGCUUAGUGUGAUGCACACGCUUUGGAGUUUAUUUGUGCAACUUUCAUCAUCAUCAAGUUCAUCCUCUUCUUGUUCAAGAUUUGCAGCAUACCCCCAACAAAAGAUCCAACAAUCUUUAGGUUCAAUUUUCGAUUAUCAAAUUUAUUUAUGACUGCAACUUUUAAAGGAGAUGAACUUUCUUGACCAUGGUGAAAGGUACACAUUUAAUUUAUAUGAAUAUAUAUGAUAUAUUUGAAGUUCUAAAUUCAUAUGUGGUGCUCUAAAAUAAUUAUAUUUAUUUAUGUUAAAUUUAACACGUGGUUAGAUUUGAUAUGCAUGAUUUAGAAUAUAUUCAAGUAUGUGAAUUUAAUAUGGUUUAUGCAUGAAUUUUGCUUGUUUGGAUUUUGAAGAUUAAUUAAAGUCUUAAAAAUAAUCAUAUGAAAAUUUUUGGUUGAACACAUAAGUUAUUUAGUAUUAAUACAUUUAUAUAUUACAUUCCUGUUUGAAAUAGAUAUAUAAUAACCUUUUAUUUUUCGGAUGCAUAUAUAAUAAUAUGGAGAUAUGAUUUGGAAAAUUAAUAGUAUGUUUUGAUGAAAUUUUUGUUUAUCUAUGGUUGAUGUUUUUAGACUAAGAACAAUAAUUUAUGAUUGGCGGGUGGAAGAAAGUUUAUUUAUAAUUUUGUUGUCGUAAAUUUUGACAAGUACAAAUAUGUAUGGUUUAAGAUGUAUAUUUAAUACAUUAAUAUAUUUAAAGUGGUGUAAAUAAAUUGUCAUAAAUAUCAAGUGUAUUUCUCAAUGAUAG